AGGACGAACGCUGGCGGCGUGCUUAACACAUGCAAGUCGAGCGGAAAGGCCCUUUCGGGGGUACUCGAGCGGCGAACGGGUGAGUAACACGUGAGUAACCUGCCUUCAGCUUUGGGAUAACCCUCGGAAACGGGGGCUAAUACCGGGUAUUCACCUUGGGGGGCAUCUUCUGGGGUGGAAAGUUUUUCGGCUGGAGAUGGGCUCGCGGCCUAUCAGCUUGUUGGUGGGGUAAUGGCCUACCAAGGCGGUGACGGGUAG
This 258-nucleotide ribosomal RNA is filed under the name uncultured bacterium. Its description in RNAcentral is "partial small subunit ribosomal RNA". It matches the Rfam family "Bacterial small subunit ribosomal RNA", at positions 26 to 286 of the family's 1533-position model. The record is from RNAcentral.